This 468-nucleotide ribosomal RNA is filed under the name uncultured bacterium. RNAcentral's name for it is "partial 16S ribosomal RNA". It matches the Rfam family "Bacterial small subunit ribosomal RNA", at positions 28 to 507 of the family's 1533-position model. The record is from RNAcentral.
GACGAACGCUGGCGGCGUGCUUAACACAUGCAAGUCGAACGGAAAGGCCCUGCUUUUGUGGGGUGCUCGAGUGGCGAACGGGUGAGUAACACGUGAGUAACCUGCCCUUGACUUUGGGAUAACUUCAGGAAACUGGGGCUAAUACCGGAUAGGAGCUCCUGCUGCAUGGUGGGGGUUGGAAAGUUUCGGCGGUUGGGGAUGGACUCGCGGCCUAUCAGCUUGUUGGUGGGGUAGUGGCUUACCAAGGCUUUGACGGGUAGCCGGCCUGAGAGGGUGACCGGCAACAUUGGGACUGAGAUACGGCCCAGACUCCUACGGGAGGCAGCAGUGGGGAAUAUUGCACAAUGGGCGGAAGCCUGAUGCAGCAACGCCGCGUGCGGGAUGACGGCCUUCGGGUUGUAAACCGCUUUCGCCUGUGACGAAGCGUGAGUGACGGUAAUGGGUAAAGAAGCACCGGCUAACUACGUG